Molecule: ribosomal RNA, 465 nt
Filed under: Vreelandella stevensii
Lineage: Bacteria; Pseudomonadati; Pseudomonadota; Gammaproteobacteria; Oceanospirillales; Halomonadaceae
Description: partial 16S ribosomal RNA
Rfam family: Bacterial small subunit ribosomal RNA
Source: RNAcentral
CCUACGGGUGGCAGUAGUGGGGAAUAUUGGACAAUGGGGGCAACCCUGAUCCAGCCAUGCCGCGUGUGUGAAGAAGGCCCUCGGGUUGUAAAGCACUUUCAGUGAGGAAGAACGCCUGGUGGUUAAUACCCAUCAGGAAAGACAUCACUCACAGAAGAAGCACCGGCUAACUCCGUGCCAGCAGCCGCGGUAAUACGGAGGGUGCGAGCGUUAAUCGGAAUUACUGGGCGUAAAGCGCGCGUAGGUGGCUUGAUAAGCCGGUUGUGAAAGCCCCGGGCUCAACCUGGGAACGGCAUCCGGAACUGUCAAGCUAGAGUGCAGGAGAGGAAGGUAGAAUUCCCGGUGUAGCGGUGAAAUGCGUAGAGAUCGGGAGGAAUACCAGUGGCGAAGGCGGCCUUCUGGACUGACACUGACACUGAGGUGCGAAAGCGUGGGUAGCAAACAGGAUUAGAUACCCCAGUAGUC